GGCUUCGUAGUCGCGGAGAGCAGAACCCGGCAGCUUCAGGGGCUGCCUGGGGGUGGGUGUUACCUGCUGUAUGUCUGUGUGCGUCCUGGGUGUGUGUGUGUGUGUGUGUGUGUGUGUGUCUGUGUGUGUGUGUCUGUGUGCGUGCGUGCGCGCGUGCGUGUCUGUGUGCCCACUUCUGUCUCUCUCUUACGUCUCCCUCUCUCUCUCUCCCUCCCUCCCUCCUCGCUCUUCCGGUCGCCCUCUCUUUCUAUCUCUGUCCGUCUGUGUGUGCGUGUGCCUCGGGACACAUGUGCCCUGUGCGCCGGAGGGUGGGUUUCUUGCAGGUCGGCCUUUCUUCUGGUCAGCCUCUCCCCGCGUCUCUGCCUGGGUCGUGUGGCCGGUUGGCAGUCGGUUUCCCGGCGGUUCCGGUUUGGGGGUCUGUGAAGGCCUGGGCAACGCGGGCAUCUGCGUCGGAACCGCAGGGGUUUUCGUCCCCUCCCCAUCCGGAGCAGCCUCUUUGCUAGGCUAGAUGCAGACGACCGCUCUCCAACCGAGGACAACGGCCUCCCAGGCGCUCACUGUCCACCCGCAGGAGGGUGCCCGCAGACCUUCAAGAAGAUGGUUCUCACGCCUCUCGCCCUCUCCCUCAUCGAGAAAUGUGGCCACAGCUCGACGCAGGGACGGAGAAGGAAGCCGGCAAGGGGAUGGGGCAAGCAUCUCUGUCACUCAAAGGCUGGCCUUCCUGGCCGAGUCACCCGUUUGACACUCCUCCCCGGAUGCCCGUGGUGGUGGCAUGGCCCCGUAUCCUGCCUGGGCUCUGGCCUCUGCUCUGUCCUCCCUCUUGCUGUGUCUGCCCCGUCUCUGAGAAGCCUGGCGGCUUCUUAGUCUGGCUCAAUGUCUUCAACAAAGAAGACUUCCCAGUCCAUCAGGGAGAAACCCCGUGGGCUUCCGUGUCAUGAUCGUUUCCCUCUCCACACCUCUUUCUGGAUGAUUGGGCAGGUGUGGUGAUCCUGGAGCUCUGGGCUUCCAUACCUGUGUGGGACAGGGAAGCUCUCUUGGUCUCCAUGGCCCAAGUGAUGGCUGCGCGCUCGGUCCAGGAAGAGGGGGAGGCAAGCCCAGCGUUCCCCACAUUGGCCUUCCAGGAAAGGCGGUGUUGCAUCCCACCUGCACUUCCUGUCUGAUCCUUGAGGGCCAACCGGUUGCUCCGCUCCUGGGGAAAGCGCCCUCUGGCACUGAAUCUUUUGGCUGCCACGGAUGUCAGGGAGCCAACGGGACUGAGUUUUGGCUGGGUGCAGGGGAGGUUGCGUCAGGGGUACCUAGGCGGUGGCGGCGUGGGGGUGGGGUGUACUCGGUCCAAAGCUCUCGGCUCCUCUGGCGGGCCUCCCUGAAUGUGGCCUGGACUCGCGCGCAGGCCCUGUCUCGCAGGUCUGCAGGUGCGCUUGGCUUUUCCUCCGCUUUGUGGGGGCAGGUCUCCAGUGGCCCCCGGGCGCACGCCUGGACAUCACUGUCCGUCUCGUCGUCGCCCCCUACGGCCUCAAAGACACACGCUCACUGCAUGUGCUCUUGGGGGACGUCAGUGCCACGUGUGGUCACACGGGCUCCAGCUCGCACUCGCCUCUGUCUGUCUUUGCCCGUGUCGCCGGAAGCCGCGUCGGGAUGCCGGAGCCCCCGGGCCUUGGAGAUGAAGGCAGGCCCCUGCUCCACCCAGGAAGGAGGGAGGCAGUGGGCUCAUGGGUCAGUGCCGUUGCCGACGACAGCACGCCUUGCGGCCCUGGGGAUCUUUCCGUGCCCCGGCGAGACCCUUUCCGCCUCACUGCAUUGUGACCCCAUUCCCGAUCACCCGGUGGGAUCCAUCAUCGAAGCCCAAGAGGAGUCCGCGCAGCCCAGCCAGCACCCCGAAGCUCCUCCUUCACCGGGAACCGAAGCAGAAGACCGAUCAAGGAGGUCCUGACGACAGGACUCCUGUGGGUCCGACCCUGGGUCUCCCGCAGGCCCCUCUGGUAGUCCUCUUCCCACCCGCCGCCUCGGGCUGCGCCGCAGCCGCCGCCGCAACCUCCAGCACCGCCGCCCCAGUCCCCGCAGCCGCCGCGUCGCCGCCAUGUUUUAAAGGGUCCGCAGCCUGACUCUGCCCAGUAAGGGGGGGGGGAGUGGGGCGGGUGAGUCGGCCUCACCAGUGCGCAUGCGCGAGGCCCGAGCCGCCGCUUGGGUCACAGUGACCGCCACCGUUGCCUGGGGAUGGGUCCCUGAGACUUGGCGAAGUAGGAGCCCUGUGUGAUCGUGCCUCAGAGUCGGGGCUGAGACCAGUCCUGGCCAGGGCAGUUACCAGGACGGUCUCCGGAGGCCGGGAUUCGCGGAGGGUCCACCAGCAGGAAGAAACCCCAGGAGGAAGAAAUCUCAGACAGAUUGCCGGGGAGGCAGCGCGGGAUCCCAGCCUCAGGCGUGCGCGGACGGUGUGCGGGUGAGUCUCCCCAACAGUGGCGCCCUUGUGAUGUCGAGGACAGGUCUGCCUGGGUGUCCGUGGGCUGCUGUCUCACCGGUGGCUUCGUAGUCGCGGAGAGCAGAACCCGGCAGCUUCAGGGGCUGCCUGGGGGUGGGUGUUACUUGCUGUAUGUCUGUGUGCGUCCUGGGUGUGUGUGUGUGUGUGUGUGUGUGUGUCUGUGUGUGUGUGUCUGUGUGCGUGCGUGCGCGCGUGCGUGUCUGUGUGCCCACUUCUGUCUCUCUCUUACGUCUCCCUCUCUCUCUCUCCCUCCCUCCCUCCUCGCUCUUCCGGUCGCCCUCUCUUUCUAUCUCUGUCCGUCUGUGUGUGCGUGUGCCUCGGGACACAUGUGCCCUGUGCGCCGGAGGGUGGGUUUCUUGCAGGUCGGCCUUUCUUCUGGUCAGCCUCUCCCCGCGUCUCUGCCUGGGUCGUGUGGCCGGUUGGCAGUCGGUUUCCCGGCGGUUCCGGUUUGGGGGUCUGUGAAGGCCUGGGCAACGCGGGCAUCUGCGUCGGAACCGCAGGGGUUUUCGUCCCCUCCCCAUCCGGAGCAGCCUCUUUGCUAGGCUAGAUGCAGACGACCGCUCUCCAACCGAGGACAACGGCCUCCCAGGCGCUCACUGUCCACCCGCAGGAGGGUGCCCGCAGACCUUCAAGAAGAUGGUUCUCACGCCUCUCGCCCUCUCCCUCAUCGAGAAAUGUGGCCACAGCUCGACGCAGGGACGGAGAAGGAAGCCGGCAAGGGGAUGGGGCAAGCAUCUCUGUCACUCAAAGGCUGGCCUUCCUGGCCGAGUCACCCGUUUGACACUCCUCCCCGGAUGCCCGUGGUGGUGGCAUGGCCCCGUAUCCUGCCUGGGCUCUGGCCUCUGCUCUGUCCUCCCUCUUGCUGUGUCUGCCCCGUCUCUGAGAAGCCUGGCGGCUUCUUAGUCUGGCUCAAUGUCUUCAACAAAGAAGACUUCCCAGUCCAUCAGGGAGAAACCCCGUGGGCUUCCGUGUCAUGAUCGUUUCCCUCUCCACACCUCUUUCUGGAUGAUUGGGCAGGUGUGGUGAUCCUGGAGCUCUGGGCUUCCAUACCUGUGUGGGACAGGGAAGCUCUCUUGGUCUCCAUGGCCCAAGUGAUGGCUGCGCGCUCGGUCCAGGAAGAGGGGGAGGCAAGCCCAGCGUUCCCCACAUUGGCCUUCCAGGAAAGGCGGUGUUGCAUCCCACCUGCACUUCCUGUCUGAUCCUUGAGGGCCAACCGGUUGCUCCGCUCCUGGGGAAAGCGCCCUCUGGCACUGAAUCUUUUGGCUGCCACGGAUGUCAGGGAGCCAACGGGACUGAGUUUUGGCUGGGUGCAGGGGAGGUUGCGUCAGGGGUACCUAGGCGGUGGCGGCGUGGGGGUGGGGUGUACUCGGUCCAAAGCUCUCGGCUCCUCUGGCGGGCCUCCCUGAAUGUGGCCUGGACUCGCGCGCAGGCCCUGUCUCGCAGGUCUGCAGGUGCGCUUGGCUUUUCCUCCGCUUUGUGGGGGCAGGUCUCCAGUGGCCCCCGGGCGCACGCCUGGACAUCACUGUCCGUCUCGUCGUCGCCCCCUACGGCCUCAAAGACACACGCUCACUGCAUGUGCUCUUGGGGGACGUCAGUGCCACGUGUGGUCACACGGGCUCCAGCUCGCACUCGCCUCUGUCUGUCUUUGCCCGUGUCGCCGGAAGCCGCGUCGGGAUGCCGGAGCCCCCGGGCCUUGGAGAUGAAGGCAGGCCCCUGCUCCACCCAGGAAGGAGGGAGGCAGUGGGCUCAUGGGUCAGUGCCGUUGCCGACGACAGCACGCCUUGCGGCCCUGGGGAUCUUUCCGUGCCCCGGCGAGACCCUUUCCGCCUCACUGCAUUGUGACCCCAUUCCCGAUCACCCGGUGGGAUCCAUCAUCGAAGCCCAAGAGGAGUCCGCGCAGCCCAGCCAGCACCCCGAAGCUCCUCCUUCACCGGGAACCGAAGCAGAAGACCGAUCAAGGAGGUCCUGACGACAGGACUCCUGUGGGUCCGACCCUGGGUCUCCCGCAGGCCCCUCUGGUAGUCCUCUUCCCACCCGCCGCCUCGGGCUGCGCCGCAGCCGGCGCCGCAACCUCCAGCACCGCCGCCCCAGUCCCCGCAGCCGCCGCGUCGCCGCCAUGUUUUAAAGGGUCCGCAGCCUGACUCUUCGGAGUAAGGGUGUGUGGCGGGUGUCGGCCUCGCCAGUGCGCAUGCGCGAGGCUCGAGCCGCUGCUUGGGUCACAGUGACCGCCACCGUUGCUUGGGUAUGGGUCCCUGAGACUUGGCUAAGCAGGAGCCUUGUGUGAGCUUGUUCAGAGUCGGGGCUGUGACCAGUCCUGGACAGGGCAGUUACCAGGACGGUCUCCGGAGGCCGGGAUUCGCGGAGGGUCCACCAGCAGGAAGACACCUCAGGAGGAAGAAACCUGAGACAGAUCGCAGGAGAGACAGCGCGGGAUCCCAGCCUCAGGCGUGAGCGGACGCUCUGCGGGAAGGGAGUGUAUCCUGGUGUAUGACAGCAUAUAGUAGAGACCAUUGUCAAUUAGGGCCUGUGAACUGAGACAGGGUGACUGGCUAAGUCCACAACCCAUUAGAAACCCAGAAAUAAUCAAAUCAUGGAGAGAUUAGACCAGGGACAAUAAAUAUGGAUUAGGGAAGAAUGUGUUAACUCAGCAGGCCAGGGUUUCUUCAACCCCGCACAUUCAAAGAGGGAUCAUGGAAAGGAAGCUGAAUUUGCUGAGUUUUGCCACGUGGGCAUUGCAUGCCUAUGUGAUUAACCACCAAUAAAAACCUGGGACAUCAAAAAAUAAAUAAGCUGCUUUAAUUGCCAAUAAUUCACAUGUGGUUGUAUGCAGCAUUACUGGGAGAUUGAAGUGUAUCUGCAUGUGAUUCUGCUGUGAUGGACACUUGUAAAUUUGUGCCUGGAGUCUCCUGGAAUUUGCCCUGAGAAUCUUUUUCCUUUGUUGAUAUGAAUCUGCAUCCUUUUGUUUUAAUAAAUGAUAAACAUGAGUAUAA
Pan troglodytes (chimpanzee) is the source of this 5466-nucleotide long non-coding RNA. RefSeq lists it as uncharacterized. The transcript is spliced from 4 exons. Lineage: Eukaryota; Metazoa; Chordata; Mammalia; Primates; Hominidae. The record is from RefSeq and is a predicted model, not a curated record.